UACGAAGGGUGCCAGCGUUAUUCGGAAUUACUGGGCGUAAAGAGCGUGUAGGCGGCUCUGUAAGUUUGAUGUGAAAGCCCGAGGCUCAACCUCGGAACUGCAUUGAAUACUGCAAGGCUAGAGUAUAGGAGAGGAAAGCGGAAUUCCUGGUGUAGAGGUGAAAUUCGUAGAUAUCAGGAGGAACAACAGAGGCGAAGGCGGCUUUCUAGACUAUAACUGACGCUGAUUUCGCGAAAGCGUGGGUAGCAAACAGG
This 254-nucleotide ribosomal RNA is filed under the name uncultured bacterium. Its description in RNAcentral is "partial 16S ribosomal RNA". It matches the Rfam family "Bacterial small subunit ribosomal RNA", at positions 524 to 776 of the family's 1533-position model. The record is from RNAcentral.